AGAGUUUGAUCCUGGCUCAGGAUGAACGCUAGCGGCAGGCCUAACACAUGCAAGUCGAACGGUAACAUAGAGAAGCUUGCUUUUCUGAUGACGAGUGGCGCACGGGUGCGUGACGCGUAUACAAUCUACCUUUUACAGAGGGAUAGCCCAGAGAAAUUUGGAUUAACACCUCAUGGUAUUGAGAAUUGGCAUCGAUUUUCAAUUAAAACUCCGGUGGUAAGAGAUGAGUAUGCGUUCUAUUAGCUAGUAGGUAGGGUAACGGCUUACCUAGGCAACGAUAGAUAGGGGCCCUGAGAGGGGGAUCCCCCACACUGGUACUGAGACACGGACCAGACUCCUACGGGAGGCAGCAGUGAGGAAUAUUGGACAAUGGGCGCAAGCCUGAUCCAGCCAUGCCGCGUGCAGGAAGACUGCCCUAUGGGUUGUAAACUGCUUUUAUACGGGAAGAAACACCGCUACGUGUAGUGGUUUGACGGUACCGUAAGAAUAAGGAUCGGCUAACUCCGUGCCAGCAGCCGCGGUAAUACGGAGGAUCCAAGCGUUAUCCGGAAUCAUUGGGUUUAAAGGGUCCGUAGGUGGAUAAUUAAGUCAGAGGUGAAAUCCUGCAGCUCAACUGUAGAAUUGCCUUUGAUACUGGUUAUCUUGAGUUAUUAUGAAGUAGUUAGAAUAUGUAGUGUAGCGGUGAAAUGCAUAGAUAUUACAUAGAAUACCAAUUGCGAAGGCAGAUUACUAAUAAUCAACUGACACUGAUGGACGAAAGCGUGGGGAGCGAACAGGAUUAGAUACCCUGGUAGUCCACGCCGUAAACGAUGGAUACUAGCUGUUCGGACUUCGGUUUGAGUGGCUAAGCGAAAGUGAUAAGUAUCCCACCUGGGGAGUACGUUCGCAAGAAUGAAACUC
This 900-nucleotide ribosomal RNA is filed under the name uncultured bacterium. RNAcentral describes it as "bacterial SSU rRNA". It matches the Rfam family "Bacterial small subunit ribosomal RNA", at positions 8 to 902 of the family's 1533-position model. The record is from RNAcentral.